This is a long non-coding RNA of Helianthus annuus (common sunflower), 478 nucleotides long. RefSeq lists it as uncharacterized. The record is from RefSeq and is a predicted model, not a curated record. NCBI's taxonomy places the organism in Eukaryota, Viridiplantae, Streptophyta, Magnoliopsida, Asterales, Asteraceae. The transcript has 2 exons.
AGGGGCCCCUCAUCAUCUUUCUUGCACUAUUUAUAUCACUGAUAAAAUAUAUACAUACAUAUUUCUUCAAGUUGCUAACUAUUGAUGGCACCUGCAAGAACCUACUUAACCAUUCUUCUGUUAUCUCUCACAGUAUCACAUUCAAUAUCAGGUUAUGAUGAUGAAGGGGUGUCAAGUGUUGAACAAAACAAGAAAGUUUUGGGAUAAGACCACCAAGGUGUGUGAACAAGUGUGUGAGUUGUAGGCCUUGUGAGGCUACUUUGGUAAUUCCAUCACACCAGAAAUUGAUUGAUUACAGGGUUCAAUCUCAUUGGGAAGAUAAUUACUAUCUUCUUUCAUGGAAAUGUAAAUGUGGUGAUAAACUCUAUCAACCUUGAUUAUUAGUUAAGAUGUUGUAUCAAGUACUAUGUUACACAAUACAAUAACCGUUUAUUAUGUUAUAUACUUUGACAUUGGUUAAUUUGUGUGUUAUGUUUCA